This 253-nucleotide ribosomal RNA is filed under the name uncultured bacterium. RNAcentral's name for it is "partial 16S ribosomal RNA". It matches the Rfam family "Bacterial small subunit ribosomal RNA", at positions 524 to 776 of the family's 1533-position model. The record is from RNAcentral.
GACAGAGGGUGCAAACGUUGUUCGGAAUUACUGGGCGUAAAGCGUGUGUAGGCGGCUUGGCAAGUCGGAUGUGAAAGCCCUGGGCUCAACCCAGGAAGUGCACUCGAUACUGCCGAGCUUGAGUAUCGGAGAGGUUGGUGGAAUUCUCGGUGUAGAGGUGAAAUUCGUAGAUAUCGAGAGGAACACCGGCGGCGAAGGCGGCCAGCUGGACGAAUACUGACGCUGAGACACGAAAGCGUGGGGAGCAAACAGG